GUGGGGAAUAUUCCGCAAUGGACGAAAGUCUGACGGAGCAACGCCGCGUGAGUGAUGAAGGUUUUCGGACUGUAAAGCUCUGUUGUUUAGGACGAAAGUGCCUGUUGCAAAUAGUUACAGGUAUUGACGGUACUGAACGAGGAAGCCACGGCUAACUACGUGCCAGCAGCCGCGGUAAUACGUAGGUGGCAAGCGUUGUCCGGAAUUAUUGGGCGUAAAGAGCAUGUAGGCGGGAAUCUAAGUCUGUUGUGAAAAUGCGGGGCUCAACCCCGUAGUGCGAUGGAAACUGGGUUUCUUGAGUGCAGGAGAGGAAAGGGGAAUUCCCAGUGUAGCGGUGAAAUGCGUAGAUAUUGGGAGGAACACCAGUGGCGAAGGCACCUUUCUGGACUGUGUCUGACGCUGAGAUGCGAAAGCCAGGGUAGCGAACGGGAUUAGAAACCCGGGUAGUCC
RNAcentral lists this ribosomal RNA (450 nucleotides) under uncultured bacterium. RNAcentral's name for it is "partial 16S ribosomal RNA". It matches the Rfam family "Bacterial small subunit ribosomal RNA", at positions 354 to 796 of the family's 1533-position model. The record is from RNAcentral.